UCGCAAGAUAUAUCUUGCCUAAAGGUCAC
RNAcentral lists this small RNA (29 nucleotides) under Bombyx mori (domestic silkworm). Its description in RNAcentral is "ovarian small RNA-28546". The record is from RNAcentral. Lineage: Eukaryota; Metazoa; Arthropoda; Insecta; Lepidoptera; Bombycidae.